GAUGAACGCUGGCGGCGUGCCUAAUACAUGCAAGUCGAGCGAACAGACGAGGAGCUUGCUCCUCUGACGCUAGCGGCGGACGGGUGAGUCACACGUGGAUAACCUACCUAUAAGACUGGGAUAACUUCGGGAAACCGGAGAUCACAUCGGAUAUUAUAGUGAACCGCAUGGUUCAUUAGUGAAAGACGGUUCUGCUGUCACUUAUAGAUGGUUCCGGGUCGCAUUAGCUAGUUGGUAAGGUAACGGCCUACCAAGGCUACGAUGCGUAGCCGACCUGAGAGGGUGAUCAGCCACACUGGAACUGAGACACGGUCCAGACUCCUACGGGAGGCAGCAGUAGGGAAUCUUCCGCAAUGGGCGAAAGCCUGACGGAGCAACGCCGCGUGAGUGAUGAAGGUCUUCGGAUCGUAAAGCUCUGUUAUUAGGGAAGAACGAAUGUGUGAGUAACUAUGCACGUCUUGACGGUACCUAAACAGAAAGCCCCGGCUAACUACGUG
RNAcentral lists this ribosomal RNA (497 nucleotides) under uncultured bacterium. RNAcentral's name for it is "partial 16S ribosomal RNA". It matches the Rfam family "Bacterial small subunit ribosomal RNA", at positions 28 to 507 of the family's 1533-position model. The record is from RNAcentral.